Molecule: non-coding RNA, 209 nt
Filed under: Candidatus Scalindua
Lineage: Bacteria; Pseudomonadati; Planctomycetota; Candidatus Brocadiia; Candidatus Brocadiales; Candidatus Scalinduaceae
Source: RNAcentral
CUUCCCAUCGAAGAUUCGGGCUUUUUUAUUGUAGUGUGAGAUAUAAGGGAAUCCCCGCCGAGUUGAAAACUCGGUUAACGGGAGCUGCCCCGCAACUGUAAUCGGUGACGAAAUCUGCAAAAUGCCACUGUCCGCUUCCGGCGGAUGGGAAGGUGUAGAAAUCAGGAUGAUCCGAAAGCCAGGAGACCUGUCUUACGCGUUUUUCCAGC